RNAcentral lists this ribosomal RNA (270 nucleotides) under uncultured archaeon. RNAcentral's name for it is "partial 16S ribosomal RNA". It matches the Rfam family "Archaeal small subunit ribosomal RNA", at positions 477 to 747 of the family's 1478-position model. The record is from RNAcentral.
CAGCACCUCAAGUGGUCAGGAUGAUUAUUGGGCCUAAAGCAUCCGUAGCCGGCUCUGUAAGUUUUCGGUUAAAUCUGUAUGCUCAACAUACAGGCUGCCGGGAAUACUGCAGAGCUAGGGAGUGGGAGAGGUAGACGGUACUCGGUAGGAAGGGGUAAAAUCCUUUGAUCUAUUGAUGACCACCUGUGGCGAAGGCGGUCUACCAGAACACGUCCGACGGUGAGGGAUGAAAGCUGGGGGAGCGAACCGGAUUAGAUACCCGAGUAGUCC